AGCACUGUUGGUAUCUGCAUCCAGUUGUAUGUCUGACUGGAAUGUUCAAAUGCCAGUGCUAGAGAACCUCGGCACCCGCUCUAAUUGGACCUUAUGUUUGUUGUUGGGUCCUGGUGGUGGUCGAGACAAGGCC
Molecule: small nucleolar RNA, 133 nt
Organism: Onychostoma macrolepis
Lineage: Eukaryota; Metazoa; Chordata; Actinopteri; Cypriniformes; Cyprinidae
Product: small nucleolar RNA SNORA8
Exons: 1
Source: RefSeq, a predicted model, not a curated record